Molecule: non-coding RNA, 228 nt
Organism: Vicia faba (fava bean)
Lineage: Eukaryota; Viridiplantae; Streptophyta; Magnoliopsida; Fabales; Fabaceae
Source: the annotation of a GenBank genome assembly
AUGGCGCCGCGCUUCUUUUUUCGAUCCAACUCAAACUUCUCUGUCAAUAAUCGCUUGUCCUCUUCUCAGAUCAACUCAAAUCUGUCGCCGUCUGUCUUAAUUCCUCUCUUCUCACCAGACUCAUCUCUUCUUUUUUUCACAAGCUCUGCUUUAGUCACGAUUUUGUCUCAAAUUACAUCUCCAACGCCAUGCUUCAACGAAUCCGCGAUCUCGCAUUCGUCGCCGUGA